GACGAACGCUGGCGGCGUGCUUAACACAUGCAAGUCGAACGGAAAGGCCCCCUUGUGGGGUACUCGAGUGGCGAACGGGUGAGUAACACGUGAGUAACCUACCCUUGACUUUGGGAUAACUUCAGGAAACUGGGGCUAAUACCGGAUAGGAGCUCCUGCUGCAUGGUGGGGGUUGGAAAGUUUCGGCGGUUGGGGAUGGACUCGCGGCUUAUCAGCUUGUUGGUGGGGUAGUGGCUCACCAAGGCUUUGACGGGUAGCCGGCCUGAGAGGGUGACCGGCCACAUUGGGACUGAGAUACGGCCCAGACGCCUACGGGAGGCAGAAGUGGGGAAUAUUGCACAAUGGGCGGAAGCCUGAUGCAGCAACGCCGCGUGCGGGAUGACGGCCUUCGGGUUGUAAACCGCUUUCGCCUGUGACGAAGCGUGAGUGACGGUAAUGGGUAAAGAAGCACCGGCUAACUACGUG
RNAcentral lists this ribosomal RNA (465 nucleotides) under uncultured bacterium. RNAcentral's name for it is "partial 16S ribosomal RNA". It matches the Rfam family "Bacterial small subunit ribosomal RNA", at positions 28 to 507 of the family's 1533-position model. The record is from RNAcentral.